CAGUCGCCGCGGUAAUACGUAGGUGGCAAGCGUUGUCCGGAAUUAUUGGGCGUAAAGCGCGCGCAGGCGGAUAGGUCAGUCCGUCUUAAAAGUUCGGGGCUUAACCCCGUGAUGAGAUGGAAACUGCCAAUCUAGAGUAUCGGAGAGGAAAGUGGAAUUCCUAGUGUAGCGGUGAAGUGCGUAGAUAUUAGGAAGAACACCAGUGGCGAAGGCGACUUUCUGGACGAAAACUGACGCUGAGGCGCGAAAGCCAGGGGAGCGAACGGGAUUAGAUACCCCGGUAGUCCCUGUCUCUUAUACA
Molecule: ribosomal RNA, 301 nt
Filed under: uncultured bacterium
Lineage: Bacteria
Description: partial 16S ribosomal RNA
Rfam family: Bacterial small subunit ribosomal RNA
Source: RNAcentral